UACGUAGGGGGCAAGCGUUGUCCGGAUUUAUUGGGCGUAAAGCGCACGCAGGCGGUCUGUUCAGUUUGGAGUGACAGUUCCUGGCUCAACCGGGAAAGUGCUUCGAAUACUGGCGGACUUGAGGGCUUCAGAGGGACACGGAAUUCCGGGUGGAGUGGUGAAAUGCGUAGAGAUCCGGAGGAACACCAAAGGCGAAGGCAGUGUCCUGGGGAGUACCUGACGCUCAGGUGCGAAAGCCAGGGGAGCGAACGGG
RNAcentral lists this ribosomal RNA (253 nucleotides) under uncultured bacterium. RNAcentral describes it as "partial 16S ribosomal RNA". It matches the Rfam family "Bacterial small subunit ribosomal RNA", at positions 524 to 776 of the family's 1533-position model. The record is from RNAcentral.